GAUGAACGCUGGCGGCGUGCCUAAUACAUGCAAGUCGAGCGAACGGACGAGAAGCUUGCUUCUCUGAUGUUAGCGGCGGACGGGUGAGUAACACGUGGAUAACCUACCUAUAAGACUGGGAUAACUUCGGGAAACCGGAGCUAAUACCGGAUGAUAUUUUGAACCGCAUGGUUCAAAAGUGAAAGACGGUUUUGCUGUCACUUAUAGAUGGAUCCGCGCUGCAUUAGCUAGUUGGUAAGGUAACGGCUUACCAAGGCAACGAUGCGUAGCCGACCUGAGAGGGUGAUCGGCCACACUGGAACUGAGACACGGUCCAGACUCCUACGGGAGGCAGCAGUAGGGAAUCUUCCGCAAUGGGCGAAAGCCUGACGGAGCAACGCCGCGUGAGUGAUGAAGGUCUUCGGAUCGUAAAACUCUGUUAUUAGGGAAGAACAAAUGUGUAAGUAACUGUGCACAUCUUGACGGUACCUAAUCAGAAAGCCACGGCUAACUACGUG
Molecule: ribosomal RNA, 497 nt
Filed under: uncultured bacterium
Lineage: Bacteria
Description: partial 16S ribosomal RNA
Rfam family: Bacterial small subunit ribosomal RNA
Source: RNAcentral